ACGGGAGGCAGCAGUGGGGAAUAUUGCACAAUGGAGGAAACUCUGAUGCAGCGACGCCGCGUGAGUGAUGAAGUAUUUCGGUAUGUAAAGCUCUAUCAGCAGGGAAGAAGACGACGGUACCUGACUAAGAAGCCCCGGCUAACUACGUGCCAGCAGCCGCGGUAAUACGUAGGGGGCAAGCGUUAUCCGGAUUUACUGGGUGUAAAGGGAGCGUAGACGGCUUAGCAAGUCUGAAGUGAAAGGCAUGGGCUCAACCUGUGGACUGCUUUGGAAACUGUUAAGCUAGAGUACCGGAGGGGUAAGCGGAAUUCCUAGUGUAGCGGUGAAAUGCGUAGAUAUUAGGAGGAACACCGGUGGCGAAGGCGGCUUACUGGACGGCAACUGACGUUGAGGCUCGAAAGCGUGGGGAGCAAACAGGAUUAGAUACCCUGGUA
Molecule: ribosomal RNA, 434 nt
Filed under: uncultured Lachnospiraceae bacterium
Lineage: Bacteria; Bacillati; Bacillota; Clostridia; Lachnospirales; Lachnospiraceae
Description: bacterial SSU rRNA
Rfam family: Bacterial small subunit ribosomal RNA
Source: RNAcentral